RNAcentral lists this ribosomal RNA (409 nucleotides) under uncultured eukaryote. RNAcentral describes it as "bacterial SSU rRNA". It matches the Rfam family "Eukaryotic small subunit ribosomal RNA", at positions 122 to 521 of the family's 1831-position model. The record is from RNAcentral.
CGGUGGAUGAAGUAAUUCUAAAAUGGAUAACCGUGGGAAAUCUAGAGCUAAUACAUGCAAAAGAGAAUUCUUUAGAAAAAGGAAUGCAUAUAUUAGAUACAAAUCCAAAAAUACAAAGGUGAAUCAUAAUAUUUAUAGCAAAUUAUACAGAGGAAGUAAUUCUUCUUGAUAAUAAACCGAUCAAAUUUUCUGCCCUAUCAUACUUUGGACGGUAAUGUAGUGGAUUACGGUGGUGAUGACGGGUAACGGAGAAUUAGGGUUUGAUUCCGGAGAGGGAGCAUGAGAAAUGGCUACCACUUCCAAGGAAGGCAGCAGGCGCGUAAAAUUACCCAAUCCUAAAACAGGGAGGUAGUGACGAUAAAUAACAAUGAUUCAAUGAUAACAAAGUUGAAUUAAUUGGAAUGAGAAC